This 435-nucleotide ribosomal RNA is filed under the name uncultured bacterium. Its description in RNAcentral is "bacterial SSU rRNA". It matches the Rfam family "Bacterial small subunit ribosomal RNA", at positions 772 to 1204 of the family's 1533-position model. The record is from RNAcentral.
ACCGAAUAGAUACCCAGGUAGUCCACGCCCUAAACGAUGCGAACUGGAUGUUGGGUACAUUACGGUACUCAGUGUCGAAAGCUAAACGCGUUAAGUUCGCCGCCUGGGGAGUACGGUCGCAAGACUGAAACUCAAAGGAAUUGACGGGGCCGGCACAAGCGGUGGAGUAUGUGGUUUAAUUACGAUGCAACGCGAAGAACCUUACCUGGCCUUGACAUCUGUCGAAUCCUGCAGAGAUGCGGGAGUGCCGCAAGGAACGACAAGACAGGUGCUGCAUGGCUGUCGUCAGCUCGUGUCGUGAGAUGUUGGGUUAAGUCCCGCAACGAGCGCAACCCUUGUCCCUAGUUGCCAACACGUAAUGGUGGGAACUCUAGGGAGACUGCCGGUGACAAACCGGAGGAAGGUGGGGAUGACGUCAAGUCCUCAUGGCCCUUA